AUAAAGACAGAGGAACAAAUACCAGACCAGCAAACUUACCUGAAUCCAGCUGCCCUCAGAGUAUGGCUGAGGCUUGGUCAAAGCCCAGAACUUAGCAAGGGUUAGAGGACAUCAUGGGACCAUAUUCCCAGUCACUCCAGGAGAACCCCGUUUUCUACACCUACACCAUCCUAUAUUUCCAGGAUCUUACCAGCAACCCCAAGAAGAAGGGAAGGGCAUGAAAUUUUGAAUUGAGUGACUGAAACCGGCAUGACUGCAUAAACACUGAAGUUUGAGAAACAAUUCCACAACCGCUCUUCUCCCAUCAAGCUAAUACAUUUUGAGGAAAAACUCAAGAUUUCAAGAAAUAGGCUCUCGGACACAAUUCUGUGGGGGAGGUAAGAAGUCUGUGGCA
Molecule: long non-coding RNA, 394 nt
Filed under: Homo sapiens (human)
Lineage: Eukaryota; Metazoa; Chordata; Mammalia; Primates; Hominidae
Description: HSALNT0070399
Source: RNAcentral